RNAcentral lists this ribosomal RNA (256 nucleotides) under uncultured bacterium. RNAcentral's name for it is "partial 16S ribosomal RNA". It matches the Rfam family "Bacterial small subunit ribosomal RNA", at positions 524 to 776 of the family's 1533-position model. The record is from RNAcentral.
UACGGGGGGGGGCAAGCGUUGUUCGGAAUUACUGGGCGUAAAGGGCUCGUAGGCGGCCAACUAAGUCCGACGUGAAAUCCCAAGGCUUAACCUUGGAACUGCGUCGGAUACUGGAUGGCUUGAAUUCGGGAGAGGGAUGCAGAAUUCCACGUGUAGCAGUGAAAUGCGUAGAGAUGUGGAGGAAUACCGAUGGCGAAGGCAGCCUCCUGGGCCAACACUGACGCUCAUGCACGAAAAGCGUGGGGGAGCAAACAGG